This 468-nucleotide ribosomal RNA is filed under the name uncultured bacterium. RNAcentral describes it as "partial 16S ribosomal RNA". It matches the Rfam family "Bacterial small subunit ribosomal RNA", at positions 28 to 507 of the family's 1533-position model. The record is from RNAcentral.
GACGAACGCUGGCGGCGUGCUUAACACAUGCAAGUCGAACGGAAAGGCCCUGCUUUUGUGGGGUGCUCGAGUGGCGAACGGGUGAGUAACACGUGAGUAACCUGCCCUUGACUUUGGGAUAACUUCAGGAAACUGGGGCUAAUACCGGAUAGGAGCUCCUGCUGCAUGGUGGGGGUUGGAAAGUUUCGGCGGUUGGGGAUGGACUCGCGGCUUAUCAGCUUGUUGGUGGGGUAGUGGCUUACCAAGGCUUUGACGGGUAGCCGGCCUGAGAGGGUGACCGGCCACAUUGGGACUGAGAGACGGACCAGACUCCUACGGGAGGCAGCAGUGGGGAAUAUUGCACAAUGGGCGGAAGCCUGAUGCAGCAACGACGAGUGCGGGAUGACGGCCUUCGGGUUGUAAACCGCUUUCGCCUGUGACGAAGCGUGAGUGACGGUAAUGGGUAAAGAAGCACCGGCUAACUACGUG